This 426-nucleotide ribosomal RNA is filed under the name uncultured Chamaesiphon sp. Its description in RNAcentral is "bacterial SSU rRNA". It matches the Rfam family "Bacterial small subunit ribosomal RNA", at positions 355 to 795 of the family's 1533-position model. Lineage: Bacteria; Bacillati; Cyanobacteriota; Cyanophyceae; Gomontiellales; Chamaesiphonaceae. The record is from RNAcentral.
UGGGGAAUUUUCCGCAAUGGGCGCAAGCCUGACGGAGCAAUACCGCGUGAGGGAGGAAGGCUCUUGGGUCGUAAACCUCUUUUCUCAGGGAAGAACACAAUGACGGUACCUGAGGAAUCAGCAUCGGCUAACUCCGUGCCAGCAGCCGCGGUAAUACGGAGGAUGCAAGCGUUAUCCGGAAUGAUUGGGCGUAAAGCGUCCGUAGGUGGUUUUGUAAGUCUGUGGUUAAAGCGUGUAGCUCAACUACAUAACGGCCAUGGAAACUACAUAACUUGAGUGAAGUAGGGGUAGAGGGAAUUCCCAGUGUAGCGGUGAAAUGCGUAGAGAUUGGGAAGAACACCGGUGGCGAAAGCGCUCUACUGGACUUAUACUGACACUGAGGGACGAAAGCUAGGGGAGCGAAUGGGAUUAGAUACCCCAGUAGUC